RNAcentral lists this ribosomal RNA (253 nucleotides) under uncultured bacterium. RNAcentral describes it as "partial 16S ribosomal RNA". It matches the Rfam family "Bacterial small subunit ribosomal RNA", at positions 524 to 776 of the family's 1533-position model. The record is from RNAcentral.
GACGAACCGAGCGAACGUUGUUCGGAAUCACUGGGCUUAAAGGGUGCGUAGGCGGGCUGUCCAGUCAAGGGUGAAAGCCCACGGCUCAACCGUGGAAUUGCCUGAGAUACUGACGCCCUCGAGGGAGGUAGGGGCGAGCGGAACUGUGGGUGGAGCGGUGAAAUGCGUUGAUAUCCACAGGAACUCCGGUGGCGAAGGCGGCCCGCUGGACCUCUUCUGACGCUGAGGCACGAAAGCUAGGGGAGCAAACGGG